This 468-nucleotide ribosomal RNA is filed under the name uncultured bacterium. RNAcentral's name for it is "partial 16S ribosomal RNA". It matches the Rfam family "Bacterial small subunit ribosomal RNA", at positions 28 to 507 of the family's 1533-position model. The record is from RNAcentral.
GACGAACGCUGGCGGCGUGCUUAACACAUGCAAGUCGAACGGAAAGGCCCUGCUUUUGUGGGGUGCUCGAGUGGCGAACGGGUGAGUAACACGUGAGUAACCUGCCCUUGACUUUGGGAUAACUUCAGGUAACUGGGGCUAAUACCGGAUAGGAGCUCCUGCUGCAUGGUGGGGGUUGGAAAGUUUCGGCGGUUGGGGAUGGACUCGCGGCUUAUCAGCUUGUUGGUGGGGUAGUGGCUUACCAAGGCUUUGACGGGUAGCCGGCCUGAGAGGGUGACCGGCCACAUUGGGACUGAGAUACGGCCCAGACUCCUACGGGAGGCAGCAGUGGGGAAUAUUGCACAAUGGGCGGAAGCCUGAUGCAGCAACGCCGCGUGCGGGAUGACGGCCUUCGGGUUGUAAACCGCUUUCGCCCGUGACGAAGCGUGAGUGACGGUAAUGGGUAAAGAAGCACCGGCUAACUACGUG